Molecule: long non-coding RNA, 1488 nt
Filed under: Capsicum annuum
Lineage: Eukaryota; Viridiplantae; Streptophyta; Magnoliopsida; Solanales; Solanaceae
Description: long non-coding RNA (CANN_LNC011693)
Source: RNAcentral
CCUCACUGGUGAAUUCCCAGGUGACUACGGAUGGGACACUGCUGGACUCUCGGCUGAUCCAGAGACGUUUGCCAGAAACCGUGAGCUUGAGGUGAUCCACUGCCGUUGGGCCAUGCUUGGUGCUUUGGGCUGUGUCUUCCCUGAAAUCCUUUCCAAGAACGGUGUCAAAUUUGGUGAGGCUGUUUGGUUCAAAGCUGGAUCCCAAAUCUUCUCAGAAGGUGGACUUGACUACCUCGGCAACCCAAACCUUAUCCACGCCCAAAGCAUCCUCGCCAUUUGGGCCUGCCAAGUUGUUCUCAUGGGCUUUGUUGAAGGAUACAGGGUUGGUGGAGGCCCACUUGGUGAGGGUCUUGACAAGAUCUACCCAGGAGGUGCCUUUGACCCACUUGGUCUGGCUGAUGAUCCCGAGGCUUUUGCUGAAUUGAAGGUCAAGGAAAUCAAGAAUGGACGCUUGGCAAUGUUCUCCAUGUUUGGAUUCUUUGUUCAGGCCAUUGUUACUGGAAAGGGCCCAAUUGAGAACCUCUUUGACCACAUUAAUGACCCAGUCGCCAACAACGCUUGGGCUUACGCCACAAACUUUGUUCCCGGAAAGUGAAGUAAUUAGGGCUAUGUAAUCUGUAAACUUUGGGCUAAUGAAGUUUUAUGCUUGUCAAAGAUUGCCUUGUACCUUGAUGCUCUAUUUAACAUGCUCUGAUAUUUACCAACAUAUAGUAAUGUUUCUCACUGUUCUAGUUUUGUUUUUUGUACCCCUAAAUAUAAUCUUCCCUUUUAGUUAUCACAUUUUGGUUACUGAUUUGUCCACUAGCUUCCAAAGCUAGAUUAGAAACCUUCUUUCAAUAUUCUCACCAAUGGGAGUCGAUCAGAAAUGCCAUAAUGUGUUAAUAUGGUAUAUGUCAAAUUCAAAUAAAAAUAUUGAAUUUGUAUUAGUGAAAGGAUGUAUGUAGGAUUGCGAAAUAUCAUUCACUCAAUCAAAGGUCUCAGAUUUUGAACCACAAUGCAGAAUUACUUUUGAUAAAGAACAUAUUUCCCCGUGUGUUCAAGUUAAUCUAUAAAUUUUGGAUGAACCCUCUCCCUAAAAGAAGAAAGAAGAAAAUAAAUGAUUGGUUAAAUAAUCUUCUAUAACCAGUUUAAAUAGAAAAAAAAGAUUAUUAUAUAACUAAUACUAAAAACACUUAUAAUUAACGAUUCGUAAAAUGGAAGUCCCAAAUUGAUUUAGUACAUUGGUUCACUUCUCCUUUCCAUGCCUUAUCCCUGAUCAAGGGAGUAAACUAUGGCUAAAACAUUGAUGGUCCAUUCAAUUCACCUAAAAUUUUACGGUUUUGCACAAGAUAAUUUUGUAUGUGGAUGAUGUUUAGCUCAACCCAUUUAAACUCUCUCCAAGUUAUUCCAAGGAAUGUUUAUAUUUUAGACUGUUUUUUAAUUUUUGCUCUUCAACAUUUUGUGUAUUAAAAAACAGUGACUUGACAUUAACAGUGAUAAAAAGGUGAC